Molecule: long non-coding RNA, 1511 nt
Organism: Pygocentrus nattereri (red-bellied piranha)
Lineage: Eukaryota; Metazoa; Chordata; Actinopteri; Characiformes; Serrasalmidae
Source: Ensembl
GUGAAAAUGAAGCGCGGCCAGCAGCUGCGGAGCCGGCAGUAAGAGAGAAAUACUCAGCGCGGACUAAACGGGGGGGUCUCAAUGAACGGCGUAACCGGGGGGGCGGGGCUCCGCGCAGGCGAUGACCGGGAAGACGUGAGGUUGAUCGAUUUCUCGGAGUUUGAUUUCGCGUCCUGGUUCCCCAUCACGUAUUCCGUAUCGACUACCAAUGCCUGCUUGCCGCCGUAUGGCGCCGGUGUUUGAGUCUGUGCUGCCGUGUGGAGGCAUUUCUGCGAUUUAACGGGCGAGAGUGAGAGAACAUGGGCCGCCGUUCUUCAGACAGCGAGGAUGACAGCCAUAGUCGGAGAAAGAGGAAGCACAGACGGCGCUCCUCGUCCUCCUCCUCCAGCUCAUCAGGGAGCAGAGUGACGAGCCGAAGCAAACACUCCAGCAGGAGAAGUCGCUCCCGGUCCAGAGCCCGAGACCGAGAUCAAGAGAGAGACAGGGACCGAGAUAGGAGGCGAAGGCACCGUUCCAGCAGCAGCUCAUCCAGAGGUUCCAGCCACAGGAAGCGGAGUCGUAGCACUGACAGGGGGCGGAGCCACAGAUCCCGGAGGUCUCGCUCCCGCAGCCGAAAGAGGUCUCGUUCCCGUCACCGCAGGUCCCGCAGUAGCGGCCGGUCCAGCAGGAGGCGCAGUCGUAGCCGGAGCCGAGGCCGGGACCGCAGCCAGCGCAAGACCCGGGACAGGGAAAGAGAGAGAGGACGGGACAGAGAGCGUGAGAAAGAGAAAGAUGCAAAAGCCAAGGAAAAGGAAAAACAAGGGGACGUGGGGAACAUCAAAGCCGGAUUAGAACAUCUGGGGAUGAAUAAUGGAGAGGGGUCACAGCGGGUCCUGGCUCUCUGGAUGUACAGUCACCUCCCUGAGCUUUUACCAUGCCACACCCCGCAUAUUAACCAGGGGCUGGGCCCUUGAAGGGCCACACUACGCAAAUGACCCCUAAUGCCACAUUUAAAGACCCCCCCUCAUAUUCAGCCAUAUAGUCAUAUAUUCUUCAUUUCAUAUUCCUGCUGUUCAUCCCUAAAGCUGACUCUGUUUCAUGAUGGUCAGUGACUGUGCCAUCGAGCACUUCAGCAUGAAUCCAUAAGUCCAGGAAUUCAGUUGGAAUUCUAAAAUAGAUUAAGAUAUGUAUAAAUUAGAUAAAGCCACGCGUGCAGUAGAAUCCUGAAUUAAUGCGGCAAGUCAUUUAAAUCUAUUAUGUUGCUUGGCAACCUCAUCCUACAUUUUCUUGGCAAAAUACUUAUUUUAUGUGAUUAUUAUUAUUAAUAAUCUCUAAUAUAAUAAUAAGCUCUAAUAUUCAAAUGCAACUUUUAAAUUGACUUUAAAACGAUAACUUCAGCAGACUAUGCUGUACAGUGUUCAAGAGAACUGUCGUUGAGUGUAAGAUGUUGUUGAAAGUCAAAUAUAUUUUGCUAAAGCCUGUUUUAUCCACUCCUGAAACAAAAAAGUUGCAGCCCUGUUAAUAAUAAACUG